RNAcentral lists this long non-coding RNA (2198 nucleotides) under Daphnia pulicaria. RNAcentral describes it as "uncharacterized LOC124326683, transcript variant X5". The record is from RNAcentral. Lineage: Eukaryota; Metazoa; Arthropoda; Branchiopoda; Diplostraca; Daphniidae.
UUUUUACGAGCAUAUUACAUCCUUUUUUCUCGUUAAUUAUCAUCCAAUUAAUAACUAAAUUUGAGAAAACAGUUGUCUGAAGCCAGACCAGAUUGAAAACGUCGACGAAUUCGGUAAUCUAAGGAACGUUGAAAAAGGGUUGAGCAGACGAAAACAAAGUUGUCUGCCAAGGCGGUGUUUUGGCAUGGUUUUGGUGAAUCUGUGCCGACUUGAACUCCGAACGUGUUACGAUUUCACCUGACUUAAAUCAUAAAUAGUUUUAGGAGAAUAUUAUACCUGCUUGAGUUUGCCUGCCUCACAGGUUUCCUCUGAGUAGCUAGUUUAGUCAUGCUCGUAUGUGUUUUACUGUUUUGGCAUUGAACAAAUGCACCAAUUGACAUUGACUGAAAUGCAGAAAAACUUGUAAUGCCCAUUCCGUUCUCUCACAAGUCACAAGAAGACAUAAAUGAAGCGUUGACGUCACUUGGAGGUUAUGGGAGUCGGUAUGACGUUAUUGGGGCACUAGGAUCUAGGAUGUUUGCUUGUGUAUGAGAUGGGCCUGUAUCAUUCCUUGUUGGACAGAUUAAUUGUGAGGGCCUUGGAUAUGACCAAAUGCCAAUGCUGACUGGUGAUGAUGGCUCUUUUUCGACUUUUUGGCUGACAUUUUUCUUUUUGGUGUGAAAUGCUUGGAGCGGAUGGAGCCCUGGCUCUUCUGUGAAUCAGCUCAACUGAUGGUUUGAUUCUACAUAAAACAGAAUAGGCAUUUCAAACUUAAUUUCAAACUUAAUUUCAAACUUAAUUUCAAACUUAAUAACGAAAUCACGGUAAUUGGUAAAAUCUGACAUGAUAAGUGGCCUAGUGUAAUAUUUGUGAGUAAUCGUUUGUCUAGAAUAAAACACAUCGCGUCAGUAUUGCAAUGUACAAACUGUUAUUAAGUUUUAAUUUUUAUUGAGACAUGCUCUUCGACUUGUCUCCUCAGUAGAUUUUUCAAAUGCUUAGUCAUCUUAAUUACAAAUUGUUGACAUUUUCAUUCUGUUUUCAGGCCCCCGCCGCAAUUCCAUGGUGGUAGCGAGAGAUUGCUGAAAUUCAACACUAUUAAUACAUGAUGUAGUUAGAUAAAUUACAAGUGCGCAUAUCUAGAUUAGAUGUACUAAAUUGGAAUGACAAACUUUAUGAGAAGUCUUGUCCUUUCAAGAAAAAGGAUAUCAGAACAUUUGGAUACCCAACCUUCAACUUUUGGUUGCAGUUCAGGACUGAGACUAACAAGUCCAGCAAAAUCAUCGCUUAACAGCUGACCCUGACGGUGCCAAGCAAACACCAUAAGCCGAAGAUAAAGACAACGUAAAAGUUCCCAAGUCUAAGGAUGUCUGUCGUGGCAAACUGAUUGCGUAGCAACUGGAGAAAGUGUUUGUCGAGCAAACGAACUGUGAUGUCGAACUCUUGUUAGAAGACGAGGAGGUAAUCGGAGGCCAUAUUUCCAUCUUGGUUGCCAGAAGUCCCGUUUUCUCUGCCAUGUUUUACCACAACCUUCAAAAAUCCAUGACGUGCAAAGUCUUCGUCCAAGACAUCCGGCCACAGAUUUUCAAAGAGAUGCUACAGUACAUUUACUCCGGCCAGACUAUGGCUCCUUUGAUGGACGCCAUCGCUCAACCUCUGUUCGUACUUUCAGUCAAAUACGAUAUCGAGGACCUUAAAGAAAAGUGUGUCCAUUAUCUACUGAAAAGCAUCCGGACGAGUAAUGCAGUUGACUUGUUGGGGGCAAAUCUUCAUUCGGUGGAUAAAAUCCAAGAAUCAACUCUUGACUUUGUGGCCAUAAAUUUCAAAAUCAUUUGUCAGUCCAAUGAAUGGGAGAACUUGAUGAAGAACUAUCCGGACUCAAGAGCUUGGAUUCCUGGUGGCUCGACGUUAUGUAGCUCUUUAAGAGAUACGCCAGCCAAAGAGUUCUGUAUAACUUUAAAUGCGGUUCCAGCGUCACCACCAAUAUCCACAAUUCCACAUGAGUUCACGAUCCUUGCAACAACAACACGUACAGCAUGAUACUGGACACUUAAGCAAGCUAAGGUUGCAGAGAAAUAUUUAAAAAAUAGCCGACUGCUGUCCUUCAAACGGUUCGAAAUGGAAGAUUUAUUCAUUCACCGAAGAAACGAGUCAAAUGACUCAGAUGUCAAUUGGUUAAAAAACCCAUCCCCAGCGACGUCAACCUGCAGAAGGAAAGGCCA